UACGUAGGGUGCAAGCGUUGUCCGGAAUCAUUGGGCGUAAAGCGUGCGCAGGCGGCGCGUUAAGACAGGUGUGAAAGCCCCGAGCUUAACUUGGGAAUUGCGCUUGUGACUGGCGUGCUGGAGUGUGGCAGAGGGAGGUGGAAUUCCACGUGUAGCAGUGAAAUGCGUAGAGAUGUGGAGGAACACCGAUGGCGAAGGCAGCCUCCUGGGCCAGCACUGACGCUCAUGCACGAAAGCGUGGGGAGCAAACAGG
Molecule: ribosomal RNA, 253 nt
Filed under: uncultured bacterium
Lineage: Bacteria
Description: partial 16S ribosomal RNA
Rfam family: Bacterial small subunit ribosomal RNA
Source: RNAcentral